RNAcentral lists this ribosomal RNA (406 nucleotides) under Echinococcus canadensis. RNAcentral describes it as "12S ribosomal RNA". The record is from RNAcentral. Lineage: Eukaryota; Metazoa; Platyhelminthes; Cestoda; Cyclophyllidea; Taeniidae.
GCGAAUUUGUGGUUGGUUUUGCAAAAACUGAUUAGGGUUGUGGUUUGUGGCCCCGUGUUUUAGUUUGUUUAACUGUGGCAAUAGAAAGUUUUGUUUCAUUGGCUGCAUGAAAUUUGUUUAUUUAUAAUUGGUUUGUUAUGUUUUCUGAUUAUUUUAUCAGCAGUUGAUUUUUUGUUAAGACGUGAGUCUUAUAAGGGUGAUGCAAUUUGAGGGGAUAGGACACAGUGCCAGCAUCUGCGGUUAGUCUGUUUUCUUUGCUUUUAUGUGGAUAGUGCGUGUUUAUUUAUAUUCAAUGUUAGGUUAAAUUUUUUUGUGUUGGUGUUUAGUAAAUAAAUUUUGUGGUGAUAUAUAUGAUGACAGGGAUUAGAUACCCCAUUAAUGUAUUUUUAAAAUGUUGUCCUGGUUU